GCACAUUUACCCAAGAGGUUUAAGGGGACUGUUUGCUAAACGGUUAGUAGAUGUUAAAUCUAGCGCAGGUUCAAAUCCUGCAAUGUGCGCCA
Molecule: transfer RNA, 92 nt
Filed under: Coprobacillus sp. AF15-30
Lineage: Bacteria; Bacillati; Bacillota; Erysipelotrichia; Erysipelotrichales; Coprobacillaceae
Description: tRNA-Ser
Rfam family: tRNA
About the family: Transfer RNA (tRNA) molecules are approximately 80 nucleotides in length. Their secondary structure includes four short double-helical elements and three loops (D, anti-codon, and T loops).
Source: RNAcentral